Molecule: ribosomal RNA, 914 nt
Filed under: uncultured marine archaeon
Lineage: Archaea
Description: bacterial SSU rRNA
Rfam family: Archaeal small subunit ribosomal RNA
Source: RNAcentral
UUCCGGUUGAUCCCGCCGGAGGCUACCGCUAUUGGAGUUCGAUUAAGCCAUGCGAGUCGCGAGUCUUAGGGACUCGGCGUACCGCUCAGUAACACGUGGGUAACCUGCCCUAUGCUGGGGGAUAACCUCGGGAAACUGAGAAUAAUACCCCAUAGUUCACCACGCCUGGAACGGUGGGUGGACCAAAGCUCCGGCGGCAUAGGAUGGGCCUGCGGCGUAUCAGGUUGUAGGGGGUGUAAUGUACCCUCUAGCCCUCUACGCGUACGGGUGUUGAGAGACAUCGCCCGGAGAUGGAUUCUGAGACACGAAUCCAGACCCCACGGGGUGCAGCAGGCGCGAAAACUUGGCAAUGCGAGAAAUCGUGACCAGGGAACUCCAAGUGCAUCGGGUAAGACCGAUGCUUUUCUUGACUCUUCAAAGGUCUUGGAAUAAGGGGUGGGUAAGGACGGUGCCAGCCGCCGCGGUAAUACCGGCGCCCCAAGUGGUAGUCGCUUUUAUUGGGCCUAAAACGUCCGUAGCCGGUCUGGUACAUUCGUGGGUAAAUCAACCAGCUCAACUGGUUGAAUUCUGCGAGCACGGCCAGACUUGGGACCGGGAGAGGUGUGGGGUACUCUCAGGGUAGGGGUAAAAUCCUGUCAUCCUGAGAGGACCACCUGUUGCGAAGGCGCCACACUAGAACGGAUCCGACGGUCAGGGACGAAGCCUAGGGGCACGAACCGGAUUAGAUACCCGGGUAGUCCUAGGUGUAAACGCUGUGGACUUGAUGUUGGGGGCGCUCCGAGCGCACUCAGUGUCGAAGCGAAGGUGAUAAGUCCACUGCCUGGGGAGUACGGUCGCAAGGCUGAAACUUAAAGGAAUUGGCGGGGGAGCACCGCAACCUGAGGAUUGUGCGGUUUAAUUGGAUUCAACGCCGG